CCUACGGGAGGCAGCAGUGAGGAAUAUUGCACAAUGGGGGAAACCCUGAUGCAGCGACGCCGCGUGAGUGAAGAAGUAUUUCGGUACGUAAAGCUCUAUCAGCAGGGAAGAAAAUGACGGUACCUGACUAAGAAGCCCCGGCUAACUACGUGCCAGCAGCCGCGGUAAUACGUAGGGGGCAAGCGUUAUCCGGAUUUACUGGGUGUAAAGGGAGCGUAGACGGCAGCGCAAGUCUGGAGUGAAAUCCCAUGGCUUAACCAUGGAACUGCUUUGGAAACUGUGCAGCUAGAGUGCAGGAGAGGUAAGCGGAAUUCCUAGUGUAGCGGUGAAAUGCGUAGAUAUUAGGAGGAACACCAGUGGCGAAGGCGGCUUACUGGACUGUAACUGACGUUGAGGCUCGAAAGCGUGGGGAGCAAACAGGAUUAGAUACCCCAGUAGUC
This 440-nucleotide ribosomal RNA is filed under the name uncultured bacterium. Its description in RNAcentral is "partial 16S ribosomal RNA". It matches the Rfam family "Bacterial small subunit ribosomal RNA", at positions 338 to 795 of the family's 1533-position model. The record is from RNAcentral.